UGGAUAGAUUAAUGUAUUCACGACGUGAAAUAGAGGAUUACACUGUUUUUAAAACGGAAAGUGAAUCAAUUAACAUAUAGACUCCU
This 86-nucleotide microRNA precursor is filed under the name Nicotiana sylvestris (wood tobacco). RNAcentral describes it as "MIR6152 microRNA precursor family". It matches the Rfam family "MIR6152 microRNA precursor family". Lineage: Eukaryota; Viridiplantae; Streptophyta; Magnoliopsida; Solanales; Solanaceae. The record is from Rfam by way of RNAcentral. RNAcentral also lists the same sequence under 1 other name.